This is a non-coding RNA of Nothobranchius furzeri (turquoise killifish), 2287 nucleotides long. Lineage: Eukaryota; Metazoa; Chordata; Actinopteri; Cyprinodontiformes; Nothobranchiidae. The record is from RefSeq and is a predicted model, not a curated record.
CACACACACACACACAGUGGAAGAGCAACAGAGAUACUUCUCAGUGGCUGUUAUGUGCGCAGAACAGUCCAGCGAUGAAAUCCGCGCACCUGAUUUAGAGGCAUUACGGUAGCGCAGCAAACCGUGCCCCGCACACACAUACACACACACACACACAUGCUCAACACUUGCGCGCACACACACUCAGUCCAAGUGAUUCAACCCUGAUUUCCAGCGAUCGAGCAACAGACAGGAUGCCAAAAAGUGCACACCGGUGGAGAGGUUCUGCGCGCUGAACGAGCCUCCUGAAAAAGAACCGGAGAAGGAAAACCAGGAGCAAACUAAAGAAACGACAUCAACAAAAGACGAGAAGCCGCGCUGUUUCUCCGUGACAACUUGCGCGCACAGUGCCCAGAGUUUUCAGAGGCAGUAUUGUUCCGACUUCACUCCAGAGGGGCCACUCCGAGGAGAGAGGACGCACACAAAAGGAGAAAAAAAGGAAACGGACUAACGAGCCACGCUUUACCCAUUUAAACUUAAUGCUCCUGCGGUCUUAGAUCCCACAUUUCUCCCGUGUCUCCCAGUUUCUUUUCUGUUUUUUUUUUUUUUUUUUUUUUUUUUUUGUAAUUUUUCGUCCAGUCGGUUUGUGUCCCCCCACUCACCACCACCUCUCCUUUUGUCGCCGCGUGAGAGAGAGUGGACGCGCCGGGGUCUGAGGAGCAGAAGCGGGGCAGUCCACAUGGUCCAACCACUGGCGUGAAAGUUGACUUCUUCAGAAACCAAGAGAACAGGUGCCAGUGAUGAUGGUGGAAUCAGCUUCUGAGACCAUUCGAACAACGCCGUCCAACCAAAACGGAGUCAGCAGCCUCAGCAGCCAAUCGGACGGAGGGGGAGGUAGAGAGGGCGGGUCCAAUGGAGACGCCAAUGGAGAGAUCAGCCCGGUCGACUUACUGCACCUGCAGCAGCAACAGGUGUGUGUGUGUGUGUGUGUGUGUGUGUGUGUGUGUGUGUGUGUGUGUGUGUAUUUAGACUGAUGUUUACAGGUAGGCGUGUUGUGCAACAGCUACUUUGGAACUGAUGAACUUCUGUAGAACAGCAUGUACUCACCAGACGGUUAUAUAAUGUACAGAUGUGACAACACACACUUGGCCAGACUCGGGUAAUUGUCGGUCCUGCUUGUGUGGGGAGGUGAAACACUCUGACAAGUUGGCUCGUCGCUGCUUUAAUUAUUCACUUUUCAGAAUAAAUUCCUCUGGGAACAAGUCCAUCGUAAGAUUCCAUUCACACAAAGAUUUCACUCAUUUACUGUUAGUUGAAAUGGAGAGAAACAUUUAUUUAAUAUCCUUAAAUUGAUCCACACACACACACACGACUAAAGCAGAGUUAAAUUUUCAUGUUCUUUCUCUCUUUCUUUUCUCUUUGUAAAAUUAGCUUGUGUUUCUCUGACACGUCAGCCCAGAGUGUCAGACGUUUGUCUCAGACACACUCACUCUCUCCAUUGUUUCUGAAAAAUAUCCAGAAAAUUCUUGGAUCACAGUUUUUACUGGAUUCCCACUUUCACUCAGAACUCUUUGCUGACACACACACACACACACACACACACACACACACACACACACACACACACACACACACACACACACACACACACACACACACACACACACACACAUGGACCAAGCAGCUUUUCAGCCAAAUCGGGAACUCUGUUUGGUUAAUCCAGUUCCAGAUUAACAAGAAGCUGUAUCUUCCAUUCUGAUUAAAUCCAGAUGACUUAUAAAAAAGUUUUUAUCAUUAGUGUCCUUCUGCUGCAGCACGGAUCACAAAUGACUCGCUCACACUUGAACUGGCCAAAGAGCUGCAGGUGGCAGACCCCUGGUCUAAAACAAAAAUGUCUCGCACAGAAAUCACGCUUUCCCCCAUUUGUGUAUUUAUUAGUUGGUCGGUGGAGGGUCCGUGUGUGUGUGUGUGUGUGUGUGUGUGUGUGUGUGUGUGUGUGUGUGUGUGUGUGUGUGUGUGUGUUCUGACACACCCAGUCUCUGCUUAAGGAAGCCCAGGGGGAAGAAAAAUCAGGGUUUCCUCCCUGCUGCUAAAAUUAUUUCCCCUAAUUAUAAUGAUGGAGCCGUUGGUGAAUGAAGAACACUCGAAGCCCUUCACUCCUGGACCACCCUCCUCCUCCUCCUCACUGCAUCCUCACCCUGCUUCCUCAGCAACCUUCAGGACACACACACACACACACACACACACACACACACACACACACAUACACACACACACACACACACACACACACACACACACACACACA